UUUUUUGAGAGUUUGAUCCUGGCUCAGGAUGAACGCUGGCGGUGUGCUUAAGGUAUGCAAAUCGAGCGGCCCACUCUUUUUGGUUAUUAUCUGAUACCAUGACUGCAUGUAUUACGUUUAUGUUUUAAAAAGCCAAAAAUAUAAGCAGUUGAAAAUAUAUAUCGGAAUUACAGCCGAUUUAAAAAGUCGAGUUGCCCAACACAACAACAAAGAAACCAUAUCAACUCGAUUUGGAAUUCCUUGGAAGUUAGUCUAUUAUGAAGCAUUCCUACACAAAAAUGAUGCUAUUAGAAGAGAAAAAAGGCUAAAAGUUGGAACCAGUGCAAUUGGCUUUUUAAAACGAAGAAUUAAACAGUCAUUGGAUAGUAAUUGAAAAGAGUGGGCAGCGGUGAACGGGUGAGUAAUGCGUAGGAAUCUACCUCUUGGUGGGGAAUAGCUCGCCGAAAGGCGGGGUAAUACCGCGUAAGUAACGCCACAUGGCAACAUGUGGCGUUAGAUAGGCCGUAACUGGCCGCCGAGAGAUGAGCCUGCGUGCUAUCAGCUUGUUGGUAGGGUAAUGGCCUACCAAGGCGAUGACGGCUAGGGGGCGUGAGAGCGCGAUCCCCCACAAGGUCACUGAGACACGGGGCCUACACCUACGGGUGGCAGCAAUCGGGAAUCUUGCGCAAUGGGCGAAAGCCUGACGCAGCGACACCGCGUGUGGGAAGACGCCUUUCGGGGUGUAAACCACUGUGGCAGGGGACGAUAAUGACGGUACCCUGCUAGAAAGCACUUGCUAACUACGUGCCAGAAGCCUCGGUGAAACGUAGGGUGCAAGCGUUAUCCGGAUUUACUGGGCGUAAAGGGUUUCGUAGGCGGAGAAACUAGUGGCGGGUGAAAGCCCACGGCUCAACCGUGGAAUUGCUCGUCAUACGGUUUUUCUAGAGUCUGUUAGGGGAGGCUAGAAUUCUCGGUGGAGGGGUGAAAUCCGUUGAUAUCGAGAGGAAUGCCAAGGGCGAAAGCAGGCCUCUGGGGCAAGACUGACGCUAAGGAACGAAAGCUAGGGUAGCAAACCGGAUUAGAGACCCGGGUAGUCCUAGCCGUAAACGAUGGAUACUAGAUGUCCCUUCCGCUGAAAGCUGAAGAGAAAUGUCUAAUUGACCUAAUUGCUCUAAUUAACGUAAUUAAAUUCCCAAUUUUCAAAUAACCUAAUGAAGCUUGAGAUUGGUGUUUGAUUAGAAAUUAGAAUAAUUAGAAAUUGGUCAUUUCCAAAAGCUUCUGCUUUUGGUGGAGGGGGUGUCGUAAGCUAACGCGUUAAGUAUCCCGCCUGGGUAGUACGGCCGCAAGGCUAAAACUCAAAGGAAUUGACGGGGAGGCGCACAACCGGUGGAGCAUGUGGUUUAAUUCGAUACAAAGCGAUGGACCUUACCUGGGCUUGACAUGUACCUGCACUCCCGUAGAAAUACGGGAUUCUUCGAGAGUGGUACACAGCUGCUGCAUGGCUGUCGUCAGCUCGUGUCGUGAGAUGUCGGCUUAAGUGCCGUAACGAGCGCAACCCCUGUCCCGUGUUGAAUAUUCACGGGAGACUGCCUUACAGCAAGUAGGGAGGAAGGAGGGGAUGACGUCAAGUCAUCAUGGCGCUUACGUCCAGGGCCACACACAUCCUACAAUGGGAAGGACAACGGGUUGCGACCCGGCAACGGUGAGCUAAUCCUUCAAACCUUCCCUCAGUUCGGAUUGGGGGCUGCAACUCGCCCCCAUGAAGUCGGAAUCGGUAGUAAUCGCGGAUCAGCAGACCGCGGUGAAUACGUUCUCGCCUCUUGUACACACUGCCCGUCAAGCCAGCAAAGUUGGCAGCGCCCGAAGUACCCCUCACCUUUACCCGGAACAGAACACGGCUGAAUAAGCAGACGUUAAGUAUCAGAGUAAAGGUGAGGGGGUCUAAGGCGAGGUCAGCGAUGAGGACUAAGUCGUAACAAGGUAUCCGUACUGGAAGGUGCGGAUGGAUCACCUCCUUU
Molecule: non-coding RNA, 1997 nt
Organism: Microgenomates group bacterium
Lineage: Bacteria
Source: Rfam